This is a non-coding RNA of Triticum urartu, 72 nucleotides long. NCBI's taxonomy places the organism in Eukaryota, Viridiplantae, Streptophyta, Magnoliopsida, Poales, Poaceae. The record is from Rfam.
GCCGAAGUAGCUCAGGGGUAGAGCACUUCCUUGGUAAGGAAGAGGUCGUGGGUUCAAAUCCCAUCUUUGGCU